RNAcentral lists this ribosomal RNA (537 nucleotides) under uncultured bacterium. RNAcentral describes it as "bacterial SSU rRNA". It matches the Rfam family "Bacterial small subunit ribosomal RNA", at positions 777 to 1307 of the family's 1533-position model. The record is from RNAcentral.
AAUAGAUACCCUGGUAGUCCACGCCCUAAACGAUGAAUGCUAGUCGUCGGGGGUACUCGUUACGUUCGGUGAUGCACUUAACAGAUUAAGCAUUCCGCCUGGGGAGUACGGUCGCAAGAUUAAAACUCAAAGGAAUAGACGGGGGACCCGCACAAGUGGUGGAGCAUGUGGUUUAAUUCGAAGAUACACGAAGAACCUUACCUGGCCUUGACAUGGUAGGAACCCUGUAGAGAUACGGGGGUGCUAGCUUGCUAGAACCUACACACAGGUGCUGCACGGCUGUCGUCAGCUCGUGUCGUGAGAUGUUGGGUUAAGUCCCGCAACGAGCGCAACCCUCGUCGUUACGUUGCUAACAGUUCGGCUGAGCACUCUAACGAGACUGCCUUCGUAAGGAGGAGGAAGGUGAGGACGACGUCAAGUCAUCAUGGCCCUUACGGCCAGGGCUACACACGUGCUACAAUGGGGCGUACAAAGAGCUGCAAUACCGCGAGGUGGAGCCAAUCUCUUAAAGCGUCUCUCGGUUCGGAUUGUUCUCUG